CGUGGGACGCAGCUCCUGGCGUCAGCUGCGUCUACCACCUCACUAACUCAGUCUCGCUCGGCUUCUGUGUGUUUGAUACUUUCAUUACCUCGGAAUGCUGUUCUUAAUAUACACUGAGAGGGUGCAAUAUUAUUUUUCAAGGUGUCAAUGGAAGCAACUAUAAAUUGAUUAAACUUGGUCGGCAACGCCCGAGGUGCUAUACGUCUGCAGUAGUCUGUAAGAAACAUCAGGGAGGAUAAGACAACAGCCUGUGUGAGGAGCAACACACGUCCACUUCGACAGGACAGAUUCUCUUCAAGUGGAAAACUAAACGUAAGAACAAGUCGAUACUGAUCUUGUGAACCAUAUUUAUGUACAGGUAGUCAUGAACCACAGCACAUCGUGUUCCCUCUUGGCCGUGUAAGGAAGUAGUACCUCAUAUACGAAGACCAGUGAGUGAAUUAUAAGACCCUUCACGACUGUGUGUGAGACACAGACCCUGCACCAUAAAUACCGACGACCAUGUCUACUGUAACAUGUAAGUUGCCAAACAUGACCAUCAUCAAGUACAGAGCGUCCGCCAUCAUCUUGCUCGUCUGUUUCACUGUGCUGCCCACACAAGGCAGACAGAGUGGGGCCAGGUCGUCCCAGCAACAAAUCACGUGGGGACGACCCAAUACAAACACAGCGUACUUCGCCAGAGACAUCAACACUAACGUGACGGCUGUAGUGGGGCAGCAGGCACGACUGCCCUGCAAGGUACUUAACCUGGACAAGAGAACUGUAUCGUGGAUCCGGAAGCGGGACCUUCACAUCCUGACGGCUGGCAUCUACACCUACACCAGUGACGACCGGUUUAAGGUGUAUCACCCGGUGGACAGUGAUGAGUGGUUCCUGGAGAUCAGUUCGGUCACCUUCAGAGACGGUGGCGUGUACGAGUGUCAAGUUCCAACCAACCCCAAGAUCUUCCUACCCAUCAACCUCGCCGUGGAAGUGCAGCAAGCGAGGAUCCACGGGCCCCGUGAAGUGUACAUCCAGAACGGCUCCACCAUCAAACUUACUUGUCACGUCACUACACAUGAGGACAACAUCGGUGUGGUCACCUGGUACCGGGACUCUAAUGAACUGGACUACGACUCUCCCAGGGGAAGAGUCAGCUGCUGUACACACAGCCAACUGUAUCACAUUAUGCUGUGACUUGCGGAUGCUGUGUUGCUGUGUAUUGCUGCUGCUGUUGUUGUCACCAGUCCCCCGGUGACCCAGUUUCUUGAACCAACAAUGAAAACCUGCCAACUGUGAUGUUAAUGGUUGACUGCUUCUGGUGUCACGUUCCCUGGGAGACAGUCUUGCCACAUCACUUACCCAGGACACAGUGUUGUAAUGUCACAAGAUGAGGUUGAGGGCAGAAAACACACAUGUAUCUGCCUUAAUAAAAAUACUUGUACAGUUGCCCACAAGUACAGUGUUUCCACCCCUCAGUGGCCUUUCCAAACAUGUGACAACGUCGGCAUCACUUUAUAAAUGAAUCGGUAACGUGAAGGGUGGAACACUAUACCUGUCGGCAACAGUACAUAAGUGUUGUUUUAAUAAAAGGAAGGAAACACAGUGAGUGAUGUAACUCUUCAUGUAUUCCAGCAUGGCUGUCUCCCACCACUUACAACGCAACCUUAAUUUAGUAGUCACAUCACAGGUGUCGAGAGAUCACCGGACACAGAAUUGGAUCAGUAUCUCAAUAUUAGAAUAAUGUAUUCCUUUAGGUUAAGUUAUUUUUGGGUAUAAGUGUUAAGUUAUGUUAGGGUAGAGGUUGGUAAUAUUUUAUUUAGUUAAGUAUGAGGUAAAUCUUGCUAGGUUAGAUUACCGUUUGUUUAGGUUAGGUUUGAUUAGGUUAGGGGUUGGUAAAAUUUGAUAAAGUAAAAUAUGGGGUAAAUCUGGCUAGGUUAGGUUAUGGUUUGAUUAAGUUAGGGUUUAGUGAGGUGGCUAAGUGGAUACAGUUUUCGCCUCUUGUUGUAAGGGCGACCACAGUCCACCCAGCUGUAGAUGAAUACCUAACAUUACAGCUGCAAAGUGAACACAGUCAGAUGUAGUAUUGGCUAUUCUGCUACUUAUGUUCCAAAGGCUUAGUGUACACUGUGCUCUAUGCACACGAUAUCAGGUCACCUGGUUUAUGAAACCCAUUUCCAUCUGCAUUAGUUGCACCAGCUGUACCACCUGUACUAAUUGUAUCAGAUGUGAGGAUCAGAUGCAACAGUUGAGGUGUGAGGGUCAGGAAUAACACCUCAAGAGCAGCACUUGAGGUGUGAGGGUCAGGAGGAACAUAGACCACGUAGGGCUCACAGGACAAGGAUCACCAUCAUGUACAUUUCAGGAUACUGUAUAUAGUGUGUCCAGGUACAAAAUAUUUUUAAUAUACAAAUGCAAACAUAAUGGUUAUAUUUUUAUACUUGUUGGUGAUGCAGUGAUUGUAUCUGUUGUAUAAUACAAACAUCUACUGAGAUCAGGGGCAGGGAAACUUUUGAGGUCGGUGAGCCAGAUUGAAAUUAUUAAGGGUUUUAUGGGGUCACCUAUUAUUUUCAAUGUUAAUUAUUUUCUGUGCAGAAUUAAUGGGUAUGACCGCUACCCUGGAAGAUCAUUCCAAUGCAACUCCAAUAUUUUAAUUUAGUCAUAUAAGAGUGUAUAUUAAUCCUCUAAAUUUCAUUCAAAUCUAUCGACUAAUUUUAUACCUCCGAGCCUUCCUUUAAAGGAGACAAAAACACUGAACUUGAGUAUGGCCACAGGCCAUCCUGGGACCUCGGCGGGCCACAAAUGGCCUGGGGGCCAGUUUCCCCACCCCUGAGUUAGAUGAAACUUUCCUCUUGAUAAAAAUCAACUUUGUGAUUGAUAAUUAUAUUGUGUAAACUCUU
Molecule: unclassified non-coding RNA, 2879 nt
Filed under: Homarus americanus (American lobster)
Lineage: Eukaryota; Metazoa; Arthropoda; Malacostraca; Decapoda; Nephropidae
Description: uncharacterized LOC121872429, transcript variant X1
Source: RNAcentral